This 64-nucleotide transfer RNA is filed under the name Remiarctus bertholdii. RNAcentral describes it as "tRNA-Thr". It matches the Rfam family "tRNA". From Rfam's summary of the family: Transfer RNA (tRNA) molecules are approximately 80 nucleotides in length. Lineage: Eukaryota; Metazoa; Arthropoda; Malacostraca; Decapoda; Scyllaridae. The record is from RNAcentral.
GCCUCAAUAGUUUAAAGAAAACUUUGGUCUUGUAAACCAAGAAUGAAAAUUAUUUCUUAAGGCU